This 603-nucleotide ribosomal RNA is filed under the name Shigella sonnei. Its description in RNAcentral is "partial 23S ribosomal RNA". It matches the Rfam family "Bacterial large subunit ribosomal RNA", at positions 312 to 920 of the family's 2925-position model. Lineage: Bacteria; Pseudomonadati; Pseudomonadota; Gammaproteobacteria; Enterobacterales; Enterobacteriaceae. The record is from RNAcentral.
CUGAAUCAGUGUGUGUGUUAGUGGAAGCGUCUGGAAAGGCGCGCGAUACAGGGUGACAGCCCCGUACACAAAAAUGCACAUAUUGUGAGCUCGAUGAGUAGGGCGGGACACGUGGUAUCCUGUCUGAAUAUGGGGGGCCCAUCCUCCAAGGCUAAAUACUCCUGACUGACCGAUAGUGAACCAGUACCGUGAGGGAAAGGCGAAAAGAACCCCGGCGAGGGGAGUGAAAAAGAACCUGAAACCGUGUACGUACAAGCAGUGGGAGCACGCUUAGGCGUGUGACUGCGUACCUUUUGUAUAAUGGGUCAGCGACUUAUAUUCUGUAGCAAGGUUAACCGAAUAGGGGAGCCGAAGGGAAACCGAGUCUUAACUGGGCGUUAAGUUGCAGGGUAUAGACCCGAAACCCGGUGAUCUAGCCAUGGGCAGGUUGAAGGUUGGGUAACACUAACUGGAGGACCGAACCGACUAAUGUUGAAAAAUUAGCGGAUGACUUGUGGCUGGGGGUGAAAGGCCAAUCAAACCGGGAGAUAGCUGGUUCUCCCCGAAAGCUAUUUAGGUAGCGCCUCGUGAAUUCAUCUCCGGGGGUAGAGCACUGUUUCGGCA